UUCUCAUACACCUCUGUGCACUUUNCAUAGGUUUAAUGUGGAAAAGGUCUCUGGCCUUGGAAAUAUUAGCCUAUGUAUUUACAAACGCUUUAGUUUUAGAAUGUCAAUCGCGUAUAACGCAAUAAAUACAACUUUUAGCAACGGAUCUCUUGGCUCUCGCAUCGAUGAAGAACGCAGCGAAAUGCGAUAAGUAAUGUGAAUUGCAGAAUUCAGUGAAUCAUCGAAUCUUUGAACGCACCUUGCGCCCCUUGGUAUUCCGAGGGGCAUGCCUGUUUGAGUGUCAUGGUAUUCUCAAUACCCUAAAUCUUUGCGGAUGAGGGUGUAUUGGACUUGGAGGUUUUUGCAGGCAAUAUUAYUUUGUCGGCUCCUCUUAAAUACAUUAGCAGAGAUAUUACUGCUACUCUCCAGCGUGAUAAUUGUCUACGCUGUUAGUAGUGCGGUAUAUAAACAUCUAUGCUUCUAAUCGUCUUCGGACAAUUCUUUGACAUCUGACCUCAAAUCAGGUAGGACUACCCGCUGAACUUAAGC
Molecule: ribosomal RNA, 528 nt
Filed under: Cerrena consors
Lineage: Eukaryota; Fungi; Basidiomycota; Agaricomycetes; Polyporales; Cerrenaceae
Description: eukaryotic LSU rRNA
Rfam family: 5.8S ribosomal RNA (bases 130-283)
Source: RNAcentral